AUGUCCAAGCUUCAGAAGAGACUUGCCUCUAAGAUUCUCCACUGUGGCAAAAAGAUGGUCUGGCUGGACCUUAACAAGACCAACGAAAUCGCCAAUGCCAACACCUGCCAGCAGAUUCAAAAGCUGAUCAAAGAUGGGCUGAUAAUCCCAAGCCCCUGACUGUCCUUUCCUGGGCUUCAUGCAGGAAAAACACCUUGACCUGCCAAGAGGGCAGGAAUAUGGGCGUAAGUAAGUGAAAGGAUAUUGUCAAUGCUCGAGUGCCAAAGAAGUUACCCUGGAUGGGGAGGAUGCGAAUUCUGCAUCAGCUGGUCGGAAGAUACUGGGAAUCUAAGAAGACUGGCCACCACAUGUAUCACAGCCUAUACCUGAAGGUGAAAGAGAACAUGUUCAAAAAUACACGGAUUCUUAUGGAACACAUCCACAAGUUG
Molecule: long non-coding RNA, 428 nt
Filed under: Homo sapiens (human)
Lineage: Eukaryota; Metazoa; Chordata; Mammalia; Primates; Hominidae
Description: non-protein coding lnc-EBF4-1:1
Source: RNAcentral